RNAcentral lists this ribosomal RNA (450 nucleotides) under uncultured bacterium. Its description in RNAcentral is "bacterial SSU rRNA". It matches the Rfam family "Bacterial small subunit ribosomal RNA", at positions 354 to 796 of the family's 1533-position model. The record is from RNAcentral.
GUGGGGAAUUUUGGACAAUGGGCGCAAGCCUGAUCCAGCAAUGCCGCGUGCAGGAAGAAGGCCUUCGGGUUGUAAACUGCUUUUGUACGGAACGAAACGGUCCGGGUUAAUACCCUGGGCUAAUGACGGUACCGUAAGAAUAAGCACCGGCUAACUACGUGCCAGCAGCCGCGGUAAUACGUAGGGUGCAAGCGUUAAUCGGAAUUACUGGGCGUAAAGCGUGCGCAGGCGGUUUUGUAAGACAGGCGUGAAAUCCCCGGGCUCAACCUGGGAAUUGCGCUUGUGACUGCAAGGGUGGAGUGCGGCAGAGGGGGAUGGAAUUCCGCGUGUAGCAGUGAAAUGCGUAGAUAUGCGGAGGAACACCGAUGGCGAAGGCAAUCCCCUGGGCCUGCACUGACGCUCAUGCACGAAAGCGUGGGGAGCAAACAGGAUUAGAAACCCGUGUAGUCC